CAGCCGCCGCGGUAAUUCGAAGGGUGCAAGCGUUAAUCGGAAUUACUGGGCGUAAAGCGUGCGUAGGCGGUUUGUUAAGUCUGUUGUGAAAUCCCCGGGCUCAACCUGGGAAUGGCAAUGGAUACUGGCAAGCUAGAGUGUGUCAGAGGAUGGUGGAAUUCCCGGUGUAGCGGUGAAAUGCGUAGAGAUCGGGAGGAACAUCAGUGGCGAAGGCGGCCAUCUGGGACAACACUGACGCUGAGGCACGAAAGCGUGGGGAGCAAACAGGAUUAGAUACCCCAGUAGUCCCUGUCUCUUAUAC
RNAcentral lists this ribosomal RNA (301 nucleotides) under uncultured bacterium. RNAcentral's name for it is "partial 16S ribosomal RNA". It matches the Rfam family "Bacterial small subunit ribosomal RNA", at positions 509 to 807 of the family's 1533-position model. The record is from RNAcentral.